This is a long non-coding RNA of Brassica rapa (field mustard), 1738 nucleotides long. RefSeq lists it as uncharacterized. The record is from RefSeq and is a predicted model, not a curated record. NCBI's taxonomy places the organism in Eukaryota, Viridiplantae, Streptophyta, Magnoliopsida, Brassicales, Brassicaceae.
GAAAGUGAUUUGCAUUUUCCCAGAAAAAAAAGCUUCUCUUUUGUUCUCCGUUUUCUUAGCAUUUUCCUGAAGCCAUGAAGAAUGAAUCGAAUCUCAGAAAAAAAACUGUUACUUUAGCCCUUUUAAUUUUAAAGAUAAAUAUUUUGUUUCAUUGCUUUGCAACUUCGGAGCAGAGGAGGAUCUUCUUCUUAUCAUGUUUUUUGUUGCCAAAGAUGUUUGUAUCCUGUGAUAUAUGUGAAGUAAAAUAUGCAUCUCUAGAAACAUGAGUUUUGCCAUUUCAAAAUAAAGACAGUCAAUUGUUCAAAUAGCCGUAUAACACAAAUCUUAAAACCAGCUAAACAUUGAGUGUACGGUUAUGUCGGAGGAUAACUUUGCUAACUUAUGAUUGAUGUUCUCAAAAAAUUUAACCAUUCACGUUUUUAUAUAGAUCGUACGUGGACUAUUUUAAAUUAUAUAUUUUUAUAAAAAAAUAUAUUCUUCUAGUGUUCAAAUAGCCGGUAAACAAAGCUAUUGUUAGCAAAUCACUGUUUAUAUACAUUGUUAGCCAGCUAAAGUAACAAAUAUAUUGCCUGAAAAGAUUUGAUUUGAAUAUGUAAAAAUAUUGAGCAUGUGAUGGUCUAUUUCUGAUGGUUUCAUUUGCUUUGUAACUUCAGAGCAGAGGAGCAUCUUCUUCUUAUCAUUUUUUUUGUUGCCAAAGAUGUUUGUAUCUGUGAUAUAUGUGAAGUAAAACAUGCGUCUCUUGAAACAUGAGUUUUGCCAUUUCAAAUUAAAGACAGUCAAUUGUUCAAAUAACCGUAUAACACAAAUUUUAAAACCAGCUAAACAUUGAGUGUACGGUUAUGUCGGAGGAUAACCUUGCUAACUUAUGAUUGAUGUUCUCACAAAAUUUAACCAUACAUGUUUUUAUAUAGACCGUACGUGGACUAUUUUAAAUUAUAUAUUUUUAUAAAAUAAAAUAUUUUUUUAGUGUUCAAAUAGCCGGUAAACAUAGCUAUUGUUAGCAAAUCACUGUUUAUAUAUAUUGUUAGCCAGCUAAACUAACAAAUAUAUUGCAUGAAAAGAUUUGAUUUGAAUAUGUAAAAAUAUAUUUGUUGGCCGGCUAAACAAACAAAUGUUAACCGGCUAAACUAACAAAUACGUAAACAUUAGUAACUCAUGUUAGAUGGUUAAUUAUUAUAUUAUCUUUUCGUAUCUAACAGAUCUCCAUAAGGAUACCAAGACGAACUGGAUAAAGAAAAUCUGCUUUGAAAAUACAGAACAGUAGUGUGAUGCGAGACUAUUAGUUAGUGUGAUCAUAAUCUUUUGAUGUCAUUCGAAACCUUAAGGUUUGAGAAAAAAGCGAUAUCGGAGGUUUUGUGGUGAGAGAGAGAACAAGAAAUUUUGAAUAAAAUAAUACUUUUUGAAAGAAGGAGAUUAGAAAGCUCAUGUGUAAAAUGGAGAAAAAGAGAGAAAAGUAAGCGAGAAGAGAGAGAGAAAACAAAAUAAUAAUUUGUAUAAAAUAGUAUUUUUUGAAUAUAGACCCAAACAAUUAUAAACGGUCCGCUGUAUAUAUAUGUUUCCUAAUCAUUACUUGCAUGCCAUAACUGCAAAACCCUUUCUGCUUCUCGGUGUAAAAAGAAUAGCUAUAGGGUUAUCAAUGUCUUUUCUCACCUAUCGAAGCUGGGCCUUACUUCUGGGCUGUACAUUUUUCCAUUUCCGCAAAUUCUCACUCUUUCUAUAUUUACGGUGCAAAUCGCUC